GUGGCUAUAGCUCAAUGGUAGAGCGCUAGGUUGUGGUCCUAGUAACGAGGGUUCAAUUCCCUCUAGCCACC
RNAcentral lists this transfer RNA (71 nucleotides) under Patescibacteria group bacterium. RNAcentral's name for it is "tRNA-His". It matches the Rfam family "tRNA". From Rfam's summary of the family: Transfer RNA (tRNA) molecules are approximately 80 nucleotides in length. RNAcentral also lists the same sequence under 1 other name. The record is from RNAcentral.